UACAGAGGGUGCGAGCGUUAAUCGGAGUUACUGGGCGUAAAGGGCGCGUAGGCGGUGAGAUGGGUGUGAUGUGAAAGCCCUGGGCUUAACCUAGGAAGCGCAUCGCAAACUAUCUGACUGGAGUAUAAGAGAGGGUGGCGGAAUUUCCGGUGUAGCGGUGAAAUGCGUAGAGAUCGGAAGGAACGUCAAUGGCGAAGGCAGCCACCUGGCUUAAUACUGACGCUGAGGCGCGAAAGCGUGGGGAGCGAACAGG
RNAcentral lists this ribosomal RNA (253 nucleotides) under uncultured bacterium. Its description in RNAcentral is "partial 16S ribosomal RNA". It matches the Rfam family "Bacterial small subunit ribosomal RNA", at positions 524 to 776 of the family's 1533-position model. The record is from RNAcentral.